This 798-nucleotide long non-coding RNA is filed under the name Cricetulus griseus (Chinese hamster). Its description in RNAcentral is "lncRNA (ENSCGRG00015033422.1)". The record is from RNAcentral. Lineage: Eukaryota; Metazoa; Chordata; Mammalia; Rodentia; Cricetidae.
GGCUCAUGCUUAUUAGACACACACGAGGUCUCAACUGUGGCAGCUUGGAAAUAGCUUAUGAACUCAAGGUGACAGUUUUCUUUGGUCUUGAACUGGGCCUUCUUGUACAGUGCCUAGGAGUGACUUCUGCAUAGCAUCCGGGGCCUGUGUGGGAUUUUGAUUGACAUGUGCAGCUGCCUCAUCCACCUUCAGUCAUAGCACCAUUGGACACAUUGGGUUCCAGACUAUCCUGCAAGGAUCAUGCCCUCCUGGGAAGCAGGUGGCUGUUGAGCUUGGUGAUCUUUCCCAAGGAUGGGGCAGAGGGGUUUCACCCUGGAGCACCAGGAGUACCAGCUGUGAUGAGCUGUGCUGUGCCAGGUCUGUCUCCAUUUGGCAUUUGAUGGGAACCACGGGCUUUGGAACAUUCUGCUUCUACCUGGACUCAGUUGUGAGACAUCACCCAUAUUGGAUUCCAGCCUGCCUUAACCCACCGUGGCCUCAUCUUAACCGGAGUACACUAGAAAACACCAUAUUUCCAAAUAAAGUCUGACUCAUAGCUACUGCGACUUAGGUCUUGUGUAUAUCUUUCUCAGAGACAUAGUUCCUCUUGUAGAGCAGCUGUCUUUGUGUGUGUUGUUCUUUGUAUAUGGCAACUAAUUUUCAGACUAUGUAGCAAGGCCACUUUCAGGAGAGACACUACCUUCUAUAUUCCAAAAUCUAGAAGGACUUCAAAAAAAACAUGUGUUUAACUUAAACAUUACAUCAUCUCUACAGCUAUCAAGAUACAGAGCCAAGGAUGGAGAGAUGGAUCAGUGGUUA